RNAcentral lists this ribosomal RNA (718 nucleotides) under Anaerotignum sp. RNAcentral describes it as "partial 23S ribosomal RNA". It matches the Rfam family "Bacterial large subunit ribosomal RNA", at positions 1 to 723 of the family's 2925-position model. The record is from RNAcentral. Lineage: Bacteria; Bacillati; Bacillota; Clostridia; Lachnospirales; Anaerotignaceae.
GGUCAAGCAAGAAAGAGCAUAAGGUGAAUGCCUUGGCACUAGGAGCCGAUGAUAGACGUGGUAAGCUGCGAUAAGCUUCGGGGAGGCGCAAACAGCCAUCGAUCCGGAGAUUUCUGAAUGGGGAAACCUACUUGAGCAAACCUCAAGUAUCCAUGCGUGAAUCCAUAGCGUAUGGAAGGGAACGCUGUGAACUGAAACAUCUAAGUAGCAGUAGGAGGAGAAAGAAAACUCGAUUUCCUUAGUAGCGGCGAGCGAACGGGAAAGAGGCCAAACCGAAGGACCUGGUUCUUCGGGGUUGCGGACUGCAUUUAGCAUCGCGAAUCGAUAGCCGAAUGGUUUUGGGAAAGCCAACCAUAGACGGUGAAAGUCCAGUAGGCGAAAUCGUGAAGCGGCGAGCAGGAUCCAGAGUACCACGAGACACGAGAAACCUUGUGGGAAGCCGGGGGGACCACCCCCCAAGCCUAAAUACUCCCUAGUGACCGAUAGUGAAGCAGUACUGUGAAGGAAAGGUGAAAAGGACCCCGGGAGGGGAGUGAAAGAGCACCUGAACCCUUAUGCUUACAACCAGUCAGAGGGCUUAGUGCCUGAUGGCGUACUUUUUGUAGAACGGUCCGGCGAGUUACUAAUGCCAGCGAGGUUAAGUGCUUAGAAGGCACGGAGCCGAAGGGAAACCAAGUCUUAAUAGGGCGUAAAGUUAGUAUUAGUAGACCCGAAACCG